AAAAAAAAAGUGGAUUUAUAGUCUCGUCAACUCGAAAGCCAAUUGACAUUCGUUUUAAAACAGUAACUGCAGUGUCUUAUAUUUUUCCGCAGCGAUCCGAGGGAAUCUGAACGGGACGGACGGGUUAAUUUAACGAAAAAUAUACUGGCAAUUUUCACUGCUGCAGGGGAAGUUUCACGUUUGACAACUCCCCUGACCCCAGACCAUUUCUUUCGUGCGCAUUUAAAUUCGAAUCGCGAUAUUAUUUCUGUAUACGUUUUGUCCCUUUGAAGCCGAGUGCUUGUGUGUUUGAAUAGAUAAAUGGUUUAUGUACAGUAACGAUAAUAUUUU
Molecule: non-coding RNA, 330 nt
Organism: Cinara cedri
Lineage: Eukaryota; Metazoa; Arthropoda; Insecta; Hemiptera; Aphididae
Source: the annotation of a GenBank genome assembly